GGGCGUAAAGCGAGCGCAGACGGUUUAUUAAGUCUGAUGUGAAAUCCCGAGGCCCAACCUCGGAACUGCAUUGGAAACUGAUUUACUUGAGUGCGAUAGAGGCAAGUGGAACUCCAUGUGUAGCGGUGAAAUGCGUAGAUAUGUGGAAGAACACCAGUGGCGAAAGCGGCUUGCUAGAUCGUAACUGACGUUGAGGCUCGAAAGUAUGGGUAGCAAACGGGAUUAGAUACCCCGGUAGUCCAUACCGUAAACGAUGGGUGCUAGUUGUUAAGAGGUUUCCGCCUCCUAGUGACGUAGCAAACGCAUUAAGCACCCCGCCUGAGGAGUACGGCCGCAAGGCUAAAACUUAAAGGAAUUGACGGGGACCCGCACAAGCGGUGGAGCAUGUGGUUUAAUUCGAAGAUACGCGAAAAACCUUACCAGGUCUUGACAUACCAAUGAUCGCUUUUGUAAUGAAAGCUUUUCUUCGGAACAUUGGAUACAGGUGGUGCAUGGUCGUCGUCAGCUCGUGUCGUGAGAUGUUGGGUUAAGUCCCGCAACGAGCGCAACCCUUGUUAUUAGUUGCCAGCAUUUAGUUGGGCACUCUAAUGAGACUGCCGGUGAUAAACCGGAGGAAGGUGGGGACGACGUCAGAUCAUCAUGCCCCUUAUGACCUGGGCAACACACGUGCUACAAUGGGAAGUACAACGAGUCGCAAACCGGCGACGGUAAGCUAAUCUCUUAAAACUUCUCUCAGUUCGGACUGGAGUCUGCAACUCGACUCCACGAAGGCGGAAUCGCUAGUAAUCGCGAAUCAGCAUGUCGCGGUGAAUACGUUCCCGGGUCUUGUACACACCGCCCGUCAAAUCAUGGGAGUCGGAAGUACCCAAAGUCGCUUGGCUAACUUUUAGAGGCCGGUGCCUAAGGUAAAAUCGAUGACUGGGAUUAAGUCG
Molecule: ribosomal RNA, 932 nt
Filed under: Oenococcus oeni
Lineage: Bacteria; Bacillati; Bacillota; Bacilli; Lactobacillales; Lactobacillaceae
Description: bacterial SSU rRNA
Rfam family: Bacterial small subunit ribosomal RNA
Source: RNAcentral